AACGAACGCUGGCGGUAUGCUUUACACAUGCAAGUCGAACUGGCAAGAGCCGUAGCAAUACGCAGUUCUGCUAGUGGCACACGGGUGAGUAACGCGUGGGAAACUACCUUAUAGUACGGAAUAGCCCCGGGAAACUGGGAUUAAUACCGUAUACGCUCUUCGGAGGAAAGAUUUAUCGCUAUAAGAUGUGCCCGCGUUAGAGUGGCUUGUUGGGGAGGUAAUGUCUCACCAAGGCGACGAUCUAUAGCUGGUUUGAGAGGAUGAUCAGCCACACUGCAACUGAGAGACGGACAAGGCUUCUACGGGAGGCAGCGUGGGGGAAUAUUGGACAAUGGGCGAAAGCCUGAUCCAGCAAUACCGCGUGAGUGAUGAAGGCCUUAGGGUUGUAAAACUCUUUCAGUGUGGAAGAUAAUGACGGUACCCACAGAAGAAGCACCGGCUAACUCCGUGCCAGCAGCCGCCGUAA
RNAcentral lists this ribosomal RNA (466 nucleotides) under uncultured bacterium. RNAcentral describes it as "partial 16S ribosomal RNA". It matches the Rfam family "Bacterial small subunit ribosomal RNA", at positions 29 to 523 of the family's 1533-position model. The record is from RNAcentral.